This 101-nucleotide transfer RNA is filed under the name Streptomyces sp. P17. RNAcentral's name for it is "tRNA-OTHER". It matches the Rfam family "tRNA". From Rfam's summary of the family: Transfer RNA (tRNA) molecules are approximately 80 nucleotides in length. Their secondary structure includes four short double-helical elements and three loops (D, anti-codon, and T loops). The record is from RNAcentral. Lineage: Bacteria; Bacillati; Actinomycetota; Actinomycetes; Kitasatosporales; Streptomycetaceae.
GGCCGUGUGCCCGAGUGGUUCAGGGGCUCGCCUGCGCUGCAUCCAUCAGCGAGCUCCGCUCGCGGGGAGUUACGUGGGUUCGAAUCCCGCCACGGCCUCCA